This 72-nucleotide transfer RNA is filed under the name Brugia malayi. Its description in RNAcentral is "tRNA-Val". Lineage: Eukaryota; Metazoa; Nematoda; Chromadorea; Rhabditida; Onchocercidae. The record is from RNAcentral.
UGGGCUGUAGCUCAGUGGUAGGGUGUUUGCUUUACAGGCGUUAGGCACUGGGUUCCAUCUCCAGCAGAGCAU